This 500-nucleotide ribosomal RNA is filed under the name uncultured bacterium. RNAcentral describes it as "partial 16S ribosomal RNA". It matches the Rfam family "Bacterial small subunit ribosomal RNA", at positions 29 to 523 of the family's 1533-position model. The record is from RNAcentral.
AUUGAACGCUGGCGGCAUGCCUUACACAUGCAAGUCGAACGGCAGCGCGGACUUCGGUCUGGCGGCGAGUGGCGAACGGGUGAGUAAUACAUCGGAACGUACCCUGUUGUGGGGGAUAACUAGUCGAAAGAUUAGCUAAUACCGCAUACGACCUGAGGGUGAAAGUGGGGGACCGCAAGGCCUCACGCAGCAGGAGCGGCCGAUGUCUGAUUAGCUAGUUGGUGGGGUAAAGGCCCACCAAGGAGACGAUCAGGAGCUGGUCUGAGAGGACGAUCAGCAACACUGGGACUGAGACACGGCCCAGACUCCUACGGGAGGCAGCAGUGGGGAAUUUUGGACAAUGGGGGCAACCCUGAUCCAGCAAUGCCGCGUGUGUGAAGAAGGCCUUCGGGUUGUAAAGCACUUUUGUCCGGAAAGAAAUCGCGCUGGUUAAUACCUGGCGUGGAUGACGGUACCGGAAGAAUAAGCACCGGCUAACUACGUGCCAGCCGCCGCCGUAA